GAUGAACGCUGGCGGCGUGCCUAAUACAUGCAAGUCGAGCGAACGGACGAGAAGCUUGCUUUUCUGAUGUUAGCGGCGGACGGGUGAGUAACACGUGGAUAACCUACCUAUAAGACUGGGAUAACUUCGGGAAACCGGAGCUAAUACCGGAUAAUAUUUUGAACCGCAUGGUUCAAUAGUGAAAGACGGUUUUGCUGUCACUUAUAGAUGGAUCCGCGCCGCAUUAGCUAGUUGGUAAGGUAACGGCUUACCAAGGCAACGAUGCAUAGCCGACCUGAGAGGGUGAUCGGCCACACUGGAACUGAGACACGGUCCAGACUCCUACGGGAGGCAGCAGUAGGGAAUCUUCCGCAAUGGGCGAAAGCCUGACGGAGCAACGCCGCGUGAGUGAUGAAGGUCUUCGGAUCGUAAAACUCUGUUAUUAGGGAAGAACAUAUGUGUAAGUAACUGUGCACAUCUUGACGGUACCUAAUCAGAAAGCCACGGCUAACUACGUG
Molecule: ribosomal RNA, 497 nt
Filed under: uncultured bacterium
Lineage: Bacteria
Description: partial 16S ribosomal RNA
Rfam family: Bacterial small subunit ribosomal RNA
Source: RNAcentral